RNAcentral lists this ribosomal RNA (253 nucleotides) under uncultured bacterium. RNAcentral describes it as "partial 16S ribosomal RNA". It matches the Rfam family "Bacterial small subunit ribosomal RNA", at positions 524 to 776 of the family's 1533-position model. The record is from RNAcentral.
UACGGGGGGGGCAAGCGUUGUUCGGAAUUACUGGGCGUAAAGGGCUCGUAGGCGGCCAACUAAGUCAGACGUGAAAUCCCUCGGCUUAACCGGGGAACUGCGUCUGAUACUGGAUGGCUUGAGUUUGGGAGAGGGAUGCGGAAUUCCAGGUGUAGCGGUGAAAUGCGUAGAUAUCUGGAGGAACACCGGUGGCGAAGGCGGCAUCCUGGACCGAUAUUGACGCUGAGGAGCGAAAGCGUGGGGAGCAAACAGG